Molecule: long non-coding RNA, 1143 nt
Organism: Alexandromys fortis (reed vole)
Lineage: Eukaryota; Metazoa; Chordata; Mammalia; Rodentia; Cricetidae
Exons: 4
Source: RefSeq, a predicted model, not a curated record
ACCCCGCGCCCCGCCUCCCUCACGCGCCUGCGCGGGGGGGGGGGCACCCUGGAGGCUGUGCGCUUGCGCACUUCCCGCCUACCCGCGGUAGACCCAGGCUAAAGUUUAGCCUGUUGUUUCAGUUAAUGGUUUAAUUCGGGUGCCAAUGUUAAAGUCCUUGACCUUGAACUCUGGCUUCUGCCGAACCUCUCUGGAAUCCCUGCUCCCAUCCUCAAUAAGUGACUAAAGUGUGGAUCAAGAUGUUAGCUCCCAGAUGCUGCUCCAGUGGCCAUGCCUACUGCCGUUCUCACCAUCAUGAUCUUCAAGAACUCAGCCUCUGAAACUGAGCCCCAAAUCUACCAGUCAUAACAUCAAAGAAGUUUCCGAUGUUGGUCUCAACACUGCUGAAGAUGAUGCCACUGUUCUGAUUGCUGAAGUGAGUUGCUAGAGAAGCCAUGAAAGCGAUCUAAGGAGAAAGCUGGUGGUCAAGGCAAAUUUGUCUUAAAGAAAAACAUCCCUGUACAGGAUGUCUCUUCUACCUGGUGUUCAAAGGCGAAGACAUAACUAUGAUGCUUGCCUAUGGGUUAAGUAUCAACAACAUCUGGAAUCUUCCACCUCCCUGUAGUUGAUGGAGUUGCAGUUCUGUAUAGCUGGCUUGGGCUCCGAAAGCUCCCAGAGGAUGUAUGAGGACAUUGGGCUCCCGAAAUAUCCAGGACUGCCCCCUACAUCCUUCCUGCCUUUCCUCCAGCUCCAGCCCGGGAUGUUGGCACAGCUCGUAGUACAAGCAGCAAAGAUGUAGGUGCAUAGGAAUAUAUGCAUAAAAAACCCGGUCCCCCAGCUUAGCUUUGCAUGUUGGAGGCAAAUAUUUGUUUAGCCUUACAAAGGAGGCAGUUGUGAGGUGUGUAGGUGCCCUGUGGCCUCCCCUGCUCUGCUUCAACAUGGCUUGGGUCCAAAGAGAUCAGUUAUGGUCUGGCGGUAGACAGUCAGGAGUUAUGCUGGAUUCAAGGUCUCUUUAUUUCAGGGCCAACUUAAAGAGUAGCUAAUGAAGGAGACUAUCUGGCCAAUUUUCAGAAACACUUGAUGAGUAACCCACAUUUCCCUAGUCCUUUUGGGUAAAAAAUAAAUACUCCUUAUACGCACUUGGGUGAAUUCAGAGAUGCCACA